CAGUAGCGUAUAUUAAAUUUGUUGCAGUUAAAAAGCUCGUAGUUGAGGUUCUGUGGGGCGGGCGAGUCGGCAUCUGCCUUCUUACCUUCUCCACAUCCGCCUGAGCAGCGGCAGUGGCAUUGAUUUGUUGUUGUCGUGAUCAGGCCUUUUACCUUGAGCAAAUUAGAGUGUUCCAGGCAGGCUCUCGCCUGAAUAGUCCAGCAUGGAAUAAUACAAUAGGACUGUGUCCCAUUUUUUGGUGUUAUGGUACGCAGUAAUGAUUAAUAGGGACAGUUGGGGGCAUUCGUAUUCAAUUGUCAGAGGUGAAAUUCUAUGAUUUAUUGAAGACGAACCUAUGCGAAAGCAUUUGCCAAGGAUGUUUUCAUUAAUCAAGAACGAAAGUUAAGGGAUCAAAGAUGAUUAGAUACCAU
Molecule: ribosomal RNA, 410 nt
Filed under: uncultured eukaryote
Lineage: Eukaryota
Description: SSU rRNA
Rfam family: Eukaryotic small subunit ribosomal RNA
Source: RNAcentral